CGUACACUCCUGCGGGAGGCAGCAGUAGGGAAUCUUCCACAAUGGGUGCAAACCUGAUGGAGCAAUGCCGCGUGAGUGAAGAAGGUCUUCGGAUCGUAAAGCUCUGUUGUUAGAGAAGAACACGUGCUAGGUAACUACUAGCGCCUUGACGGUAUCUAACCAGAAAGUCACGGCUAACUACGUGCCAGCAGCCGCGGUAAUACGUAGGUGACAAGCGUUGUCCGGAUUUAUUGGGCGUAAAGGGAGCGCAGGCGGUCUGUUUAGUCUAAUGUGAAAGCCCACGGCUUAACCGUGGAACGGCAUUGGAAGCUGACAGACUUGAAUGUAAAAGAGGAAAAUGGAAUUCCAAGUGUAGCGGUGGAAUGCGUAGAUAUUUGGAGGAACACCAGUGGCGAAGGCGAUUUUCUGGUCUAACAUUGACGCUGAGGCUCGAAAGCGUGGGGAGCGAACAGGAUUAGAAACCCGUGUAGUCCCAUGA
This 478-nucleotide ribosomal RNA is filed under the name uncultured organism. RNAcentral's name for it is "partial 16S ribosomal RNA". It matches the Rfam family "Bacterial small subunit ribosomal RNA", at positions 330 to 800 of the family's 1533-position model. The record is from RNAcentral.